This 1409-nucleotide ribosomal RNA is filed under the name metagenome. Its description in RNAcentral is "bacterial LSU rRNA". It matches the Rfam family "Bacterial large subunit ribosomal RNA", at positions 1537 to 2925 of the family's 2925-position model. The record is from RNAcentral.
AAAAUCCGGGAUUCUAAGGCCGAGAGCUGAUGACGAGUGUACUUUUAGUACACGAAGUGGUUGAUGCCAUACUUCCAAGAAAAGCUUCUAAGCUUCAGGUAACCAGGAACCGUACCCCAAACCGACACAGGUGGUUGGGUAGAGAAUACCAAGGCGCUUGAGAGAACUCGGGUGAAGGAACUAGGCAAAAUGGCACCGUAACUUCGGGAGAAGGUGCGCCGGUGAGGGUGAAGCAUUUACUGCGUAAGCCCAUGCCGGUCGAAGAUACCAGGCCGCUGCGACUGUUUAUUAAAAACACAGCACUCUGCAAACACGAAAGUGGACGUAUAGGGUGUGACGCCUGCCCGGUGCCGGAAGGUUAAUUGAUGGGGUUAGCUAACGCGAAGCUCUUGAUCGAAGCCCCGGUAAACGGCGGCCGUAACGAUAACGGUCCUAAGGUAGCGAAAUUCCUUGUCGGGUAAGUUCCGACCUGCACGAAUGGCGUAACGAUGGCGGCCUGUCUCCACCCGAGACUCAGUGAAAUUGAAAUCGCUGUGAAGAUGCAGUGUAUCCGCGGCUAGACGGAAAGACCCCGUGAACCUUUACUAUAGCUUUGCACUGGACUUUGGAUUUGCUUGUGUAGGAUAGGUGGGAGGCUUUGAAGCGUGGACGCCAGUUCGCGUGGAGCCAACCUUGAAAUACCAGCCUGGCAACUUUGAGGUUCUAACUCAGGUCCGUUAUCCGGAUCGAGGACAGUGUAUGGUGGGUAGUUUGACUGGGGCGGUCUCCUCCUAAAGAGUAACGGAGGAGUACGAAGGUGCGCUCAGACCGGUCGGAAAUCGGUCGUAGAGUAUAAAGGCAAAAGCGCGCUUGACUGCGAGACAGACACGUCGAGCAGGUACGAAAGUAGGUCUUAGUGAUCCGGUGGUUCUGUAUGGAAGGGCCAUCGCUCAACGGAUAAAAGGUACUCCGGGGAUAACAGGCUGAUACCGCCCAAGAGUUCAUAUCGACGGCGGUGUUUGGCACCUCGAUGUCGGCUCAUCACAUCCUGGGGCUGAAGCCGGUCCCAAGGGUAUGGCUGUUCGCCAUUUAAAGUGGUACGCGAGCUGGGUUUAGAACGUCGUGAGACAGUUCGGUCCCUAUCUGCCGUGGACGUUUGAGAUUUGAGAGGGGCUGCUCCUAGUACGAGAGGACCGGAGUGGACGAACCUCUGGUGUUCCGGUUGUCACGCCAGUGGCAUUGCCGGGUAGCUAUGUUCGGAACAGAUAACCGCUGAAAGCAUCUAAGCGGGAAACUAGCCUCAAGAUGAGAUCUCACUGGGACCUUGAGUCCCCUGAAGGGCCGUCGAAGACUACGACGUUGAUAGGUUGGGUGUGUAAGCGCUGUGAGGCGUUGAGCUAACCAAUACUAAUUGCCCGUGAGGCUUGACC